This is a non-coding RNA of Taeniopygia guttata (zebra finch), 351 nucleotides long. NCBI's taxonomy places the organism in Eukaryota, Metazoa, Chordata, Aves, Passeriformes, Estrildidae. The record is from RefSeq and is a predicted model, not a curated record.
CUACAAAGGAUGCUAGGUGGGGUGGAGUGGGUGAUUGCUUAAUUACUGAGCACACAGUGAAAGGCAAAUCUGCAUUGCAGAGCCUGACAUGGCAGUGAGGUCAGCUUCAGCAGUGGGGCAGGCACAGAUUUACCUUGUGGAAAACAUCACUGGCCAGCACCAAUGUGGGCAGACUUUGGAGCACCUCUUGGUGCCCCAGUUAGCCAGACCAUCCUGGAAUCUCUGAUGUCCCAUGUCAAAAUCAACAUUCUCAGGAGGCAUCUGAGGGACACAAGGUACAAAACAAAUAAUGGAACUCAAGUAAAAUUUUAGAGCUUAUACAAGUGAUGCCAAUAAAGAUGUGGAACUCCG